RNAcentral lists this ribosomal RNA (229 nucleotides) under uncultured bacterium. RNAcentral describes it as "partial 16S ribosomal RNA". It matches the Rfam family "Bacterial small subunit ribosomal RNA", at positions 568 to 796 of the family's 1533-position model. The record is from RNAcentral.
UACGUAGGCGGAAGAUUAAGUCAGUGGUGAAAUCCCGCAGCUCAACUGUGGAACUGUCAUCGAUACUGGUUUUCUUGAAUUUAGUUGAGGUAGGCGGAAUGUGUAAUGUAGCGGUGAAAUGCUUAGAUAUUACACAGAACACCGAUUGCGAAGGCAGCUUACUAAACUAUGAUUGACGCUGAGGUACGAAAGCGUGGGGAGCGAACAGGAUUAGAUACCCUGGUAGUCC